GAACUGGACAUGCCGACCUCAGAGUGUGUUGUGUGCCUGGACCGUGAAGCUCAGAUGGUCUUCCUCACCUGUGGCCAUGUCUGCUGCUGUCAGCAGUGCUGCCAGCCUCUGCGCACCUGCCCGCUGUGCCGCCAGAUCUCCCAGCGCCUCCGGAUCUACCACAGCAGCUGAAGGCACAGCACCUACCAGCCCUGGCCCUUCUUUGGUACCAUCUCCACCACUGCUGGACUCCCACCUACCCUCAUUCCACAGACUAGGGCAAGACUGCCACAGGCCUUUGUCACCCACCACCUGCCACCCCGACCCCCCACUGCUCUGAGCACUAGGCAGGCAAGUGGAAUGUUCCUGGCCUGUGACAUAGCUAUUCUGAACCGUGAACAAAAGACAGGACAAAUCUGCUGGUGGUGGAGCCUUGGGGCACGGGGCCAAGGUCCAGCGUAGGGAGGUGGCCCUGCAGGACUCAGGAAUCCAUGUUAGUAGCCAAGCCUCAGUGCUACACCCAGCUGUCUGCCCCUCCUGGAGGUGUCCAUAUCUGUGGAAUGUAUCAGCCACCCCGUCCUAAGGUGCACCAGUGUCUCUGGGAAGGGGUGGGUUGUGCAAGACUCCCCAGCACCCUUUUGCUUCUUUCUGAACACCCACCCUCCCAUAUCUGCAUCCUUAGCCUACACAGGAAGGUUGAUUCAAAACAGGAGCACCAGUAAAUCUGACUCCCUUGCAGAGUCACCCCUAGGUCCAUGGGAACUUGGAGGGGUAGGAGUAGGCAGAGUCCGGGGAGAGGGCAGCUCUUCUGGGGAAAAGGGCCAGAGCUGCUGCCCCUGGGUCAGAGGGAAGGCAACAGAAACAUUGCCCCGUGGAGAGUUAGGCAACACCCUCUUGAAAGACGGCGAGGGGAACAGCCAGAGACAGGGUCUCAUUAUUUAUAAGUAGCCUGUGCUCAUGGGAGAGGUUGUGUCCCUGCGAUGAUUACCCUAGGUGAGGGGGCUGCCGAGGCAACUGGAAGGCAUGUUAACUUUCAGAGGGGCAGCCCACCCUCACCAGCUGUAGUGAAGGGUUCCAUGUGACAUGACACCCUUCUGCCCUCCCCAGUAUAGUGUGUAUGGCCUACAGCAUGUGCUCAACAAAUAUUACUACUUGACUGGCUCUGGGGGAACUAGACAUUGGCACCUAGCUCAGGCCUGGAGGCCACCCUCAUGGUGGACACAUGGGAUUGAUGAGCCAUCAGAAGGCUAGUCACCUGAAAGCUCUAUGGCCUCUCCCCUUCUCUCUGAGCCUCAGUUUUCCCCUCUAAAAUAGGGGAUUGUAAGAAUGAGUUAGAGAAAGAGGCCUUAGUACAUUGGUUGUCAUUUGGAAGUCUGGCUCCCCAGAUCUCACAGAGCCAGGCCAGUACAUGUAAUCACAGUACUGAGGAAGCUGAAGCCGGCAGACCCUGGGACUCACCAGUCAGCCAGACUAACCGAAUUAGUGAGUUCCAGGCUAAUGAGACCUCAUCUCAAAACACGAGGUGGAAUGAUCCGAGAUUCUUUGGCUUCCACAUGCACAUGUGAAUUUGUACUUGUACACACGUGCUGGAACACACUCAGAUCAGGGGCCUGUUAGCUCAUAUGAUGAGCCCAAGAGAUCUGGGAUGAAUGGAUCCCUAGAUACCGUAGGCCCAGAUCUCCCCAACCCCAGCAGCACAUGAGGAAAUGAGCUUUAAAUAAAGCGUUUUUUGAUGAGCAGAAGCUU
Mus musculus (house mouse) is the source of this 1725-nucleotide RNA transcript. It is a transcript of the gene named RIKEN cDNA 4930555K19 gene, with no coding region annotated. The record is from RefSeq and is marked validated. NCBI's taxonomy places the organism in Eukaryota, Metazoa, Chordata, Mammalia, Rodentia, Muridae. The transcript has a single exon.